GUGUCAGCAGCCGCGGUAAUACGUAGGGUGCGAGCGUUAAUCGGAAUUACUGGGCGUAAAGCGUGCGUAGGCGGUUUCAUAAGCUUGAUGUGAAAGCCCCGGGCUCAACCUGGGAAUGGCAUUGAGGACUGUGGAGCUAGAGUGCGGCAGAGGGAGGUGGAAUUCCACGUGUAGCAGUGAAAUGCGUAGAGAUGUGGAGGAACACCGAUGGCGAAGGCAGCCUCCUGGGCCGACACUGACGCUGAGGGCACGAAAGCGUGGGGAGCAAACAGGAUUAGAUACCCUGGUAGUCC
This 293-nucleotide ribosomal RNA is filed under the name uncultured bacterium. Its description in RNAcentral is "partial 16S ribosomal RNA". It matches the Rfam family "Bacterial small subunit ribosomal RNA", at positions 505 to 796 of the family's 1533-position model. The record is from RNAcentral.